UGGGCAUAUAUGAGUUUGGCACAUGUGUAUAUAUGUGGCAUCUGUGGAGAUCUAAGAUGAAGGAAUUGGAUGUGUUGUUGUGGCGCAUGGACCCUUUGGCAUGCUAUAGAAAGAGAGAUGGUACAAGUUAGUGACGAAAGAGAAUUAGAUGAAUAGUAUAAGAAUAGGGACAUUGCAUACAUAUGGUACCCCUGCUGAAUGAUUUCUCUGGCCCCUGAGCCCUGAACGAUAACAUCAACUUCAAAUACUAAGCAUCUUUGUUUAUCAUCCAAAAUGCCAACCAUGUUCAAACAUUAAGUUUCCAUGCAGAUUAUAGUAUUGCUGUGCCUCUUGGGCCUCUCUAAUUGUCUUCAGCUCAUAACAUUUACACACCUACCAAAUAUCAUGAGUAGUUGAAUAGACCUUACAUACCUCAUCCCUGUCUCUGCUUUAUACAUGUGCAACCACAUUAUAAUGACAUCACCACAAUCAUUAUAUGCAAUUUACAAACUAAGUAUAUCUGUAAAAAGCAAUCAUAUAAACCAUUAUUUUAUGCGGCUUUUAUAUCUAUGAUUCAACUUAAUUUAGGUAAAAAAAGAUGUCCAUUAUGCAGAAAAAGGCGAAUGAGAGUGAGACCCGUGGGAGACUGCCACUGCAAAUAAGGCCAUUCAAUUCAAUUGAAAUUGAAAUUCAACCCUAGCUAGCUUGUCCCCAGUCUUAUUCUCAGUGGCAACCCUAAAGCCUAAGAACUCUCUCUACUUUUAGUCUGUGACAAGCUUCAAGUGCAGAAUUUGGUUCCAUGCAGAUGGACAACAGGACAAGCUCCAGCUGACUGCUGAGUCCAACCUUGUCCCCACCAAGAUCAAACCACACUUCUAUUGCAUAUUUACUGUCCCAAACUUCAUUUUUUUAUUUUUUUUUUCAAUCCAUAACCACCCUUUCUUUCUUUUUUCCCUCUCUUACCUGAUGUCAUUGCCAUCCAUAAUUGAGACCAUGGCAGGCCCCCACUGGGUUCAAAACCCUUCUCCAAAUUCAUCA
RNAcentral lists this long non-coding RNA (1017 nucleotides) under Vigna radiata. RNAcentral's name for it is "long non-coding RNA (VRAD_LNC007437)". The record is from RNAcentral. Lineage: Eukaryota; Viridiplantae; Streptophyta; Magnoliopsida; Fabales; Fabaceae.